This 529-nucleotide ribosomal RNA is filed under the name uncultured bacterium. Its description in RNAcentral is "bacterial SSU rRNA". It matches the Rfam family "Bacterial small subunit ribosomal RNA", at positions 981 to 1509 of the family's 1533-position model. The record is from RNAcentral.
UUGACAUACUAAGAACUUUCCAGAGAUGGAUUGGUGCCUUCGGGAACUUAGAUACAGGUGCUGCAUGGCUGUCGUCAGCUCGUGUCGUGAGAUGUUGGGUUAAGUCCCGCAACGAGCGCAACCCUUUUCCUUAUUUGCCAGCGGGUCAUGCCGGGAACUUUAAGGAUACUGCCAGUGACAAACUGGAGGAAGGCGGGGACGACGUCAAGUCAUCAUGGCCCUUACGGCCAGGGCUACACACGUGCUACAAUGGUCGGUACAAAGGGUUGCUACCUCGCGAGAGGAUGCUAAUCUCAAAAAGCCGAUCGUAGUCCGGAUCGCAGUCUGCAACUCGACUGCGUGAAGUCGGAAUCGCUAGUAAUCGCGGAUCAGAAUGCCGCGGUGAAUACGUUCCCGGGCCUUGUACACACCGCCCGUCACACCAUGGGAGUUUGUUGCACCAGAAGUAGGUAGUCUAACCGCAAGGAGGACGCUUACCACGGUGUGGCCGAUGACUGGGGUGAAGUCGUAACAAGGUAGGCGUAGAUGA